Long non-coding RNA from Mesocricetus auratus (golden hamster), 872 nucleotides. RefSeq lists it as uncharacterized. The transcript has 5 exons. The record is from RefSeq and is a predicted model, not a curated record. Lineage: Eukaryota; Metazoa; Chordata; Mammalia; Rodentia; Cricetidae.
CCAUCUUAAGAAAAGCAGAGGAGUAGAACUACUCUCUUUCCUGGCGUCUGUCUGUCUGAUCUCUGACGACUAAAAAGUAAAGGAGACAUGUCCUUACAAAGGCACCUCUGACUAAGCUCUAACGAGCCCCGGACACUCCCUAAUGAAGGGAGCUCAAGAGUAAGGCCAGCAUACGUGCCGGUAUCUUGGAGCUUGGGAGAUGGAGAAAGGGGAAUCAGGAGUUCAAGGUCACCUCUGCUAAAGGAUGGAACCUGGGGGCUCACACAAGUUAGGUGUAUGUAUAUGAACCUGUAUGUGGACAAGCAUGUGUUAUGCUACACGUGUGGAGGUCAGAGUACAAGUUGCGCAAAUCGACUUUCCUUCCACUAUGUGGACUCGAGGGAUUGAACUCAGGUUGUCAAGUGUGGAGACAUGGAACAAGUCACAGAGGAUGCUGGGAAAGCACCGUGCUCUCAAGAGGGACGUUCCUCCAAGAACACCAAGAGCUCAUUAGGACUGAGGAAGGAAGGAGGUGGAGCAGAUAUCAAUUCUAGCUUUAUCCUGUACACAGACAUGGAACAAGUCACAGAGGAUGCUGGGAAAGCACCGUGCUCUCAAGAGGGACAUUCCUCCAAGAACACCAAGAGCUCAUUAGGACUGAGGAAGGAAGGAGGUGGACCUUCCUUCCAAACCAAGUCUAGUCUAAAAUUCCCUAUGCAGUCCAGACUGACCUCAAACUCAAGAAUCCUCCUGCCUCAGCUUUCUAAAUGCUAAGAUUACUGUCAUGAGUCAUGAGUCACUAUACAAAGCUAUUACCUAGUUCUUAUACAGCACAUGAAGGUGACUGCUGUUUCUAUCCUAUUUUACAGAUUAAAAAAAUAUCUUGAGCAAAA